UCUAUUAUAAUAAAUGACUUGGGAGAAUAACUAAUCUCCUCUUCUGGACUAACAUAGUCAAGUAUCCUCUCUUUAUUCUUCUCUCCACUACAUCGAAUCACUACUUUCAUGGCCGUUGAAGCCAGACAUAAAGAUCAUAGAUGUCUGGACGCCGAUCGGCACCAUCCCGGCGACUCUGCCUCUCUCCUCGGCACCACGACGGUGCGGUACUCUGAUUAUCUCGUGGGCGGGUACUCUAGGGCGGGGUGGUCUCAUUUUGAUUUGUCAAGAUUUUGACCAUAGAUCCAUCUGCUGACCUUGUGGCGUGGUCUUACAAAUUGGGACGAUUUCUUUUCGGACAUUAAGGUCUUAUUGUCUAAGCUUCCGGAGACAUUUUCAUGUCUUUCGGUUAGAUGAUAAGCUUUUUUGAAUGAAAGAAACUCCUCGGAGUAUUGGCGUAUAUCGAUACGAGCAAGUGUAUUUCUGUCAAAAAAAAAAAAUGACUUGGGAGAAUCUAAUUUAGCGGAAUCAUCGAUAAUAAUGACAUGAAGUAUUGCUGCCAUAUAUUAUAAACACUAAAAGAACAUAUUCUUAAGUAAUGCUAUUUGUGAAGGCUUAAAAUGCUGAAGCAAGAGAAAUAUGUGCAUGUGUUUAAAGUUCUGAUGCAUGUGUAGUAGAUGAUCUAGUGCAUAGUGUAAUGUUGCUAAGGAAUGUGCAAUAUAACUAAGCUGACGAUGCUAUCGUGGUUUGUAGUGUUUGAUUUUGCCUGUUCCUGGACCUCCUCAGUUGACCCUCUGUUUCUUUGAGUUGUCUGUGUUGUCUUUGUUGCUGGUGGAGGCCUGUUCCGUCUGGUGGCUUAGUUUAAGGCGAAACACCGUGUAAUCUUCGUAACCGCAGACAGUGUUAUAUUCAUUAAUCUUGACAUCGAACACGCAACGCUUUCCAAUUAUGUUCCUAAUGACCGGGGGUAUUUCUGCAAUGUUAGUGCCCUGCAAACAGUACAAGAGUUAAUGGCGUCGAAGUUAUAUAUGAAUUGGCCUGUUGCUAAAUUUUGUGUCACCUCUGGAAGCUCGUCGAUAAUUUUGUCCACUGGUAUGCCGACGAUCUGUUCCGCCUCCUUAUUGAAGAGGGUGAAAGUUGUUUGGGCUGUUGAAUCUUCCACUCGGACGUUAAAUUACCGUGGCUUGAAGUCUCCGGCCUCCUUAGAGCAGAAUGUGCAGUAAUACUUCCCCUCAGUAGUCUGUACUUUGCGGGCGCAUCGUGGGCAACAAUUGUAGUACCAUCCCUCGCCUUCCAUCACCGCCACUAUUGUCGCCUCGCAUGUCCGUCGUAGAACCUACAAUUUAAGUAUUUUUUUAUAGCAGUUGCUAGGGGUUAACAGUGAGUUUGUCAGUCCUAAGAAUAUGCACAUUAGGACCUCAUGCUUACCAGGUAGCCAAUUUCUUGUAUUGUUCCUUAUUUGUAGUUGCACAACAAAGAAAAUUUAGCACAAACACGCAUUCAUUAUGUUAACUGAA
Daucus carota subsp. sativus is the source of this 1496-nucleotide long non-coding RNA. RefSeq lists it as uncharacterized. The transcript has 3 exons. Lineage: Eukaryota; Viridiplantae; Streptophyta; Magnoliopsida; Apiales; Apiaceae. The record is from RefSeq and is a predicted model, not a curated record.